Molecule: long non-coding RNA, 1518 nt
Filed under: Gossypium barbadense (sea-island cotton)
Lineage: Eukaryota; Viridiplantae; Streptophyta; Magnoliopsida; Malvales; Malvaceae
Description: long non-coding RNA (GBAR_LNC009747)
Source: RNAcentral
CUUGAAUGUCACGUUACGUGUUAUUUAUGGUGAUUUAGUCUAAGUUGCUCCCAGCAACAUAAUGCGAUGUCACACAUUUGGAUCCAAUGACCAGAUCGAGUGUAAGAUGUCACAACAGGGACUAAAAUUGACCAAUUCAAAAAGUAUAGGGACUAAAAUUGACCAAUUCAAAAAGUACAAGUACUAAAAAUGAUCAAAUUAAAGUAUAAGGACUAAACCCAUAACUUUUGCAAAGUACAAGGAGUAAUGGCAAAAUUUAACCAUUAAAGAACUAUGGAUUGGAAAGAUUUUGUCAAUACUUCAGCUGGUUCAAUCCUCCGACGAGUCCUCGUUCAAGGGUAAUUAUAAUCGGUUUGUCAAGGAAAAUGAAGAAAUUGGAGGGGGAAAGGAUUUGUUGCACCCUAAUUUGUUGAUAGAGACUGACUUCAAGCUGGAUCUUGAAGUGAAGAUGGAGCCUGAUUGGGAUUUGUUGCUUGAGUUCUACCUCCACUACCAUGUUUUCUUCCUUUAGUUCGGGAUUGAGCUGUAUUGGAUCUUUUGCUGCCUCCAACUUUUCCUUUAGAAGUUCUCACAUUGUGGCCUAAUUAACCACACUUCUUGCACUUCAUAUGCAUGCCCUUCCUCCACCAUCCUUCAUCUAUAGUUGCGGUUUUAUCUACUGCCUGGUGGCCUCCUUAGCUCUGGUGGCAGUACUGGUUCCAUAUUCUGAACCGUUCUCCAUUGUGUUGCUCAUCUGGCUGGAUUGAUGUGGUGUGAGUAGAUACUUAUCUGAGUAUUCUUGCUGUAAUAGUGGUGCACAUAACUCUUUGGCCUAUCUUGUAUCAUCAUCAUCACUAAAACGACAUGGAUGCAUGGAAUACUUGUGGAAAGAAGCAGUAGAGGUGUUAGUAACAUAAAUGGGUUUCAGGGAUAACAACUCAGAAAUGGUAUUACCAGUUAGAUCCCACUUUCUACAUGAACAAUUGUGGUCAUCCAAGUUAGCCACAUGUUGGUUUGAUGGACCACAUGCAACUUGGUACGUUGGCCUAUCAACAUGCCUUGGCCAGCGCCUGUAAGCAGCCAAUUAACACAUAGCAGACAAAUAAGUUAUGAAGGAAGCAGGCAACUAAGCAACCAACAUUAUCAUGAACUAAGCAGCCAAAUAAAGUUAGCAUAAGUAGCCAAAUAAAUGCAUGAAUAAGCAUCUACAUAUACUCUGAGACUUUCUCCUUGACCUUUGGGUUGAACCUUCGUCCCUAGAACUCUCUGAUAACUCUCAUGACUGAAUUUAACACGUUUGAGUCUCCUUUUUUUGUUGAUAUUUUGAUUCUCUUUUCUUUGAUUUGUUUUGUCCCUUUGCUUAUGCAAGUCUUGAUGGGGGCUCGUUGAAACAAGUAACUUUAUCCUUUUUGUUUGUUUUUUUUUUUUUUUGCUUUUUGGAAUUUUUGUUUGCUUUUAUUAUGGUUGUCGCGAUAUAUUUGAUUGUUGGUUCAAUGUAAAGGUGUGAAUAGUUUGAUUAUAAAUUUUCUUUUGUUGUGG